CUUAUUUUCAGGCCCACCUACACAAAUCUUAUAUCAAAACGUUCAGCUAUCCCUCCUGCCACUAAACAUGUCAACGGCUAAACCAUAGUCCUGAUAGUUUUCACAAUAUAAUCAUUUGUUUGCAACUAACGCCGUCCAUUGACUUUCAUUGAAACUUCACUCUGCAAAGCUCAAAUUUGAAGUGCAAUUUCUAAACUGCGACUGUGCCUUCAUUUUUAAUACUUCAGAGACAUACU
RNAcentral lists this long non-coding RNA (236 nucleotides) under Pelobates cultripes (western spadefoot toad). Lineage: Eukaryota; Metazoa; Chordata; Amphibia; Anura; Pelobatidae. The record is from RNAcentral.